Molecule: long non-coding RNA, 1990 nt
Organism: Struthio camelus australis
Lineage: Eukaryota; Metazoa; Chordata; Aves; Struthioniformes; Struthionidae
Source: RefSeq, a predicted model, not a curated record
CAAACGGACUCUAACCACAAGGCUUUCUGGAUGAGAAAAAGCUAAUUAAGGGAAAAGACAGAAUGGCUGACAGACUGCCCCCAGAAGCUAUUUUAAGGAUGUUGAGAAGAGAUGCAGGAAGGCAGGAUCUAACUGGAAACCUGGGUGGGCCAGGCAGGCUUCCUAGCAAUGCCUGAACACCCUGUAGGAGAGGACCACGCUGCUGAGUCUUCCUCUGGUCACCUUCCCCAGCAGUGUGAAGGACCUUCUCUUCAGCAGUCAAUUCUCCAUUAAGUGAGACAGCGCAAAUGUAAAACGUCUAAACACAGAUCACCGGUAAAGGCUGAAUUUAGGACCUCUGUAGUGAAAGACAGACCCCUGACAUGCAGAGGAAGAGCUCUCAGCAAGGAACACUGUUUGACAGAAGACCUUCUGAUGUCUUAAAGAGCAGCAGCAGCAGCAGCCACCCACAAACUACAGCCUGAGAAACACAGCCCCCAAGAUGGGGCUGCAUGGAUCUCAUUUACCAACUAGCUGAUUCACUUGAUGUGGGCUGAUACUCGCUCCUGGCUUCAUUGUUUUUCUUAUUUCACUUGUGUUUAUAACAACAUCUGUUGUAGCUGCUUUUAUGUACGAUCACAUAAAAUCAUGUCUUGUACACAGGUAGCAAAAGCACUGGCUUGCCAGUGUGAUAUGUUGGUCAAACUAGUUAGGUUCAUUUUGUCAAUGUACUUUAUCAAAAAUGUAUUUUGCCUGCAGCAAAACAGUCAGUUGGUACAAUGAACUGUCAUAUAUCCACUUUUUAAUAUGAAAAAUAAUUAUUCUUCUGUAUCCAUUAAACUGCUACCUAUUUUUCAGGCUGGAAUUAGGACUGCUUUCACAGAGUAUCCAACUUGCUACCCAAAUGAUUUAAAUAGAUCAGGUGUAACACUGUAAAUAUGACCAAGGCAAAAAGCCAAGGAUAAAAUUGAGUUUUAUCGUAAUAAAGCAGUAAGGCCUCUACUAUAUCUCUGUAGCAGAUAAUUGAUUGUCCAGCUGUACGCACCAGCUUAGGACAUCUGGCCACUUAAACAAAGACUAUGACCACAAGUGAAAUACCCAGUGGCCUGAAUCUCAUUUACACUGAAAACUGCAUGGUUUUGGUGUAAACUGCAUAAGAUUUUAAUGUUCCUGGGAGCUGGCAAAACAAGACAAGGAGUUUUGAUGGAAAGAGAAUCACAUCCAAUGCAGCAUUUUCCCAUAUUUUCUAGGCCAUACUGCCUAUACGGGGAGCCUAAGUCUAGGAGAUGAUGGACUGCAUUAAUCUCAGCUAGGAGGUGGCAGGGCCCUGGCUCGCAGCUGAAAUGGGUGCCUGCUUUUGAGAGGGCUUCUCUAAUCCUCUUUCCCACCAGUGGUCAAAGCUAAAUUAAUCUGACUGCAGGCACUGGUCUCAAUACAGAGGCAGUAUGAAAGUCCUUGCUGCUCUGCCAGCUGGGACCAGUGCCAGCUGGCCAGCACCAACUCCCAGCUGCCUACCUUACACUACCAGUCAGGCACACCAAGAACAUGAGUGCCCUCAGCUGGGAAAGCUGCACGGCCUCUCAGCUGAGACAGGGGGCUGUAAAUUUUUCUGCUUGGUAACAGGACUGCUGCUUACCUAUCUAUAUACUAAUUUAGAUGAAUAAAGGAUGGGCUCAAGACAAUGCCAAACAUACAGUGUAGUUAAUGCUCAGCACUGCCUGUGUGUAAAGCCAUGACAUUCGUGCUCCAAUUACCCUAUAAGCAACUCCUGUGAAGAGGGAACUAUCCACUAAGCUACACAACUAACUCCACCAGCUUUUUCAUACUGCGGACCCUUCUGCGAUGCCUCGGGCUGUCCAAUGCACACAGAGAGCCCCUGCUUUAGGAAACACUUCAAACUCUCACUUUUGUUCUUAUUGACUAGGGCUUAAAAAACAGACUUGACAUCUGGGUUUUUUGAUUCAUAUAGCAGAGAUAAAGUUCAAUAUAUUGAUCUGAACUGUAAGGCUGA